RNAcentral lists this unclassified non-coding RNA (243 nucleotides) under Silene dianthoides. RNAcentral describes it as "internal transcribes spacer 1". The record is from RNAcentral. Lineage: Eukaryota; Viridiplantae; Streptophyta; Magnoliopsida; Caryophyllales; Caryophyllaceae.
GGAAACCUGCCCAGCAGAGCGACCCGUGAACACGUUCAACCUCGUGGGUGCUGGGGCGUUGCUCGGUGCCUCGNGUGCCUGCUCGCCCCUCUCCCAGGCCGGGGAGCUCCCACUCGUGGGCUGUUCCCYCGGCUAAACAACGAACCCCGGCGCGUAAAUGCGUCAAGGAAUAUAAACUCUAUGUGUGUGCUCUCCUCUCGCCCGGUCAGCCGGGYGUUGGAGUGGCGCCAUGUCUUAACAAUA